This 2341-nucleotide long non-coding RNA is filed under the name Orbicella faveolata. Its description in RNAcentral is "uncharacterized LOC110047642". The record is from RNAcentral. Lineage: Eukaryota; Metazoa; Cnidaria; Anthozoa; Scleractinia; Merulinidae.
CGUUGCAUAUUAAGCUUAAGCACGUUUGUAGAACCAUUGACGCACCGAACAGAUCUAGACAAUCGCGAAUUUCGCUUGUAAAAUGUAAAUUCAUUUUUUACUAGGCGUCGUCCUCGGCGUCGUCGUCGUUGCUUAAGCUCCCUAUUAACUCGAUCACUGAAUUCAACGCUAUGAGUUGUAGAAAUUUGAACUUCGCCGGUUCAAGUUAUUCGCAUUGCACCUUCUGACGCGUGUGCUGUCCUUUUGAAAUAACGCCACCGGAAAUAAACAGAUUGCUGAGCCAUCAAUCAGAAAGUACACAUUGUAAGAGCUGUGUGUAAUAGGCCGUCUAUACCAAACUUCGCUUAAUUCGUCCAUUUUAAGCCUAUUGUAAUGCCACAACUAUUAGAGUUAUUAUAAGAAUUUCGUUGAGAAUUAAGAAUUUUAGGUUUAGCUUUUCAAGUUGUAAUUCAGUUAUCUGCAAGGAUACUAGUACUGUGACAAACGAAAAGAACACCUCAUGUACUAAAAAUAGUCCGCUAAAAAGCGUUUUGAAGACGUUGCUGUCGUUUGUUAAUACGGAUUGCUCGUAGAUAAACUUUCUCUCUCUGACAACUGUGAAGCUUGCACUUGUCACACUGAAUAAAUGAUGAAUUUGUUUGUCAGAAAAAUAGCCUUCGGCGGUCCGCUGAUGCGUUUAAAUAAGAUAGAUGUCUCUCAACAUGCUGGGUAAUAAUCAUUUUUUAACGUGGGUCACGCGAUCUUGUUGUCGAGGGAAGAAAAUAAGCGAGAACUACAAAAGACGUAUUAACCUUUCCGAAGAACUCACAUAGGCGACUCUUGAGGAACACGACAAAUAAUCGAUUCCUUCUCUACAUCGAGAAACUUCAUUUUAACCCGGCCAUUACAAAGUAACCAGAGAUGCACAAGUUAAUCAGCAAAGACAAUCUCAGCCGGCUGCUUCGCUUAACUCCUCUUAUCUUAGUCAUAGCUGGUUUUGUUUUAAUACUAGUGGGUACCACUGCUUCGUCAAAAAGCUGCAAGAUGACUGGUUCUGUGGUUGUAGCUGUCGGUGGAUUGUUAUUUCUUUUCUUGGCAGCCUGGAGUUCACGCCCAGACAAGUUUGUUGAAAACACAAAAUGCGAAGAAGUUGGGAUCGCAUCAGAACUCUACGCCAAUAGAACUGCCUUGAGCGCUGGCUCUAACGAUCAGCUGGGACCGACUCAUCACUUCGAAGUCAAAACACCGUCGGAAUCUCAGUCUUGGAAAGGAAUAAUACCUCCUUCAUACGAAGAAGCUGUUGACAAUAAUAGCGGUAUAGGAAAUUCGCAAACUAGCGCUGAAGUUGUACCAAGUGAUGCGAAGUAAUGGAGUGUGGACAACACGAUUCCUGCACCGCCGUCUUACGAAGAAAGUCAUGAAAAUGCGAAGAUAUUUUCAUAAUUCUCCUUAAUGGUUCUUAUAAAUUUACUGUAAAUAAAGACGUCCUCCUUGGAUAUGAAAAACGUCUGGGAGUUCUACUAGGAGUUCAAAGAGAUGACAAUCUCAACUUUACUGAGCACAUUAGCAAACUAUGUACUAAGGCAACCAGAGUGUGGAGUACGCUCUCCUCUUCGAAACUUAAUACCCUGCAAGGCUAAGCUACUACUGUAUAAACCUUUUAUACUGCCUUAUUUAACUUACUGCCACCUAACCGGGCAUUUUUGCAAGUCAUCAGACAAAAGGAAGCUAGAACGAAGACAAGAACGAGCCCUAAGGGUGAUAUAUAAAUCCCACUCCGAUACAUAUGAAGAACUUCUAAGACGUGCUGAUAUACCUUCUUUAUAUAAUAGACGGCUUCAAGAUAUCACAGAACUUAUGUACAAAGUCAAAUAUGGUCUUGUACCUGAUUGCAUGCGUUUCCGAUCUAUUUGUUUGCAAAGGCUCUACACACUCGCUGCGGAAUAGUGACUUCGUAUUACCACAUUUUAGAACUAUACGCCAUGGCAAACACUCCGUUAGAUAUUUCGGGCCAUACUUACGGUCUAAACUUACCGAAAAUCAAAGAGAUUCGCCUAGUUUACCUGUUUUUAUAAAAAAUAAGAAACUGAACCUUGCCGACAUUUUAACUAAGAACAGCAAUUGCUGUAAUCUUUGUAGCCAAUAGAAUUAUUUUAAUUUUUACAAUUUUAUCUUGUACAUAAACUAACAUAGGAUCUCUCAUACUCGUUCAGUUUUUAUCACUUUCCUGUAAAUAUUGAAAUUUUAUAAGUACGGUAUAUAUAUAUGUCAAUUAGUGUUGCUAUUUUACUAAUGUCCACAAUUAGUCUAUCUGGGCCAAACACAUGGACACUGUGAAAUAAAGGUUUUACUUACUCACUUA